GGCGCAUAUCAAAAAGCGGAGGAAAAGAAACCAACACGGGUAUUGCCCUAGUAACGGCGAGUGAAGCGGCAACAGCUCAAAUUUGAAAGCUGGCCUUCGGGUCCGCAUUGUAAUUUGUAGAGGAUGCUUUGGGUAAAACGCCAGUCUAAGUUCCUUGGAACAGGACGUCAUAGAGGGUGAGAAUCCCGUAUGUGACUGGAAAUGUUAACCUAUGUAAAGCUCCUUCGACGAGUCGAGUUGUUUGGGAAUGCAGCUCUAAAUGGGAGGUAAAUUUCUUCUAAAGCUAAAUAUUGGCGAGAGACCGAUAGCGCACAAGUAGAGUGAUCGAAAGAUGAAAAGCACUUUGGAAAGAGAGUUAAAAAGCACGUGAAAUUGUUGAAAGGGAAGCGCUUGCAAUCAGACUUGUUUAAACUGUUCGGCCGGUCUUCUGACCGGUUUACUCAGUUUGGACAGGCCAGCAUCAGUUUCGGCGGCCGGAUAAAGGCUCUGGGAAUGUGGCCUCCACUUCGGUGGAGGUGUUAUAGCCCAGUGUGUAAUACGGCCAGCCGGGACUGAGGUCCGCGCUUCGGCUAGGAUGCUGCGUACGUGAAUGGUUGUUAAGCGACCCGUCUUGA
RNAcentral lists this ribosomal RNA (614 nucleotides) under Aureobasidium pullulans. Its description in RNAcentral is "eukaryotic LSU rRNA". It matches the Rfam family "Eukaryotic large subunit ribosomal RNA", at positions 36 to 657 of the family's 3401-position model. The record is from RNAcentral. Lineage: Eukaryota; Fungi; Ascomycota; Dothideomycetes; Dothideales; Saccotheciaceae.